AACAUGGGGGUGGUACAAGUCAUUAAUCGAAUCUCCGGUUCAUCGGUACCGGUGGUGAGAUUACUGCGCCAUCUCGUGUUGCGUUGUUUGCAGUGGAACAUAUUCUUGUAUGCUGUACACAUCCCGGGGGUGGAUAACAAACUCGCUGACGCCUUGUCUCGAUUUCAGUGGGACAGGUUCAGGGAGCUGGCGCCAGGGGCGGAUGCAGAAGGGGUUCCUUGCCCUGGGUGGAUGUGGGGGCUGGCAUUGGAGCCGCUGCAGACUGGAUCAGGAGGUCGAAAAAAUUAGCAGCUUUAGCGUUUUGGUUCAAAUUGGAGGGUAGGACAGACCUCACGAAAACAUUUUGGG
Rana temporaria (common frog) is the source of this 348-nucleotide long non-coding RNA. RefSeq lists it as uncharacterized. The transcript is spliced from 2 exons. The record is from RefSeq and is a predicted model, not a curated record. NCBI's taxonomy places the organism in Eukaryota, Metazoa, Chordata, Amphibia, Anura, Ranidae.